Molecule: long non-coding RNA, 556 nt
Filed under: Homo sapiens (human)
Lineage: Eukaryota; Metazoa; Chordata; Mammalia; Primates; Hominidae
Description: HSALNT0148485
Source: RNAcentral
CCUUAACCCUUAUUUUGGUUGCAGCAGCAAGCUACAGGAUAAAUCAAGCCAGGAUCCAGGGGCAUGUGCGAGGUUUGGAGGCCACACAUGGGGCCAUUCCAGGCAGCACUGUGGGCUAAGCCCAAAGCAUCAGCCAGCAAUAAUUGCUAGAAACAAACUGAAAAGAGCAGGACAGGCUGUUGCCUUCCAAGGUAAUCUCUAUUAAGCAUCCUGACCAGAAAUAAGAGGAAGAAGCAGAGAACCCCUCAAACCCUGAGGGAGAAAAUGAAGCGAUUGUUGCAAGAGUCAGAGGAAGAAAUCAUGGUUACCUUGGGACCCUCCUCCAGGCUUUCCCCAGAUAAGGCUAAGGCAGAGACCAUGUGUGGCACCAAGAGCAAAUCCUCUGGCCCUGCUGGAUCCUUACCAGAGGACAACUCCCUGCCCCCUUGCUGUGGGUCAGCAGCCUUAGCCAUUGGUGGAGAUAGAGAUGGGGACCUGGCCCAGCUUUGCAGCUUUGGGCAGCAGAACAACAGCCAGCUUCCUCUGGGCUCCACUGCCUAUGUUUCAGGGUCUGGUU